GAUGAACGCUGGCGGCGUGCCUAAUACAUGCAAGUCGAGCGAGCGGACGAGAAGCUUGCUUUUCUGAUGUUAGCGGCGGACGGGUGAGUAACACGUGGAUAACCUACCUAUAAGACUGGGAUAACUUCGGGAAACCGGAGCUAGUACCGGAUAAUAUUUUGAACCGCAUGGUUCAAAAGUGAAAGACGGUCUUGCUGUCACUUAUAGAUGGAUCCGCGCUGCAUUAGCUAGUUGGUAAGGUAACGGCUUACCAAGGCAACGAUGCAUAGCCGACCUGAGAGGGUGAUCGGCCACACUGGAACUGAGACACGGUCCAGACUCCUACGGGAGGCAGCAGUAGGGAAUCUUCCGCAAUGGGCGAAAGCCUGACGGAGCAACGCCGCGUGAGUGAUGAAGGUCUUCGGAUCGUAAAACUCUGUUAUUAGGGAAGAACAUAUGUGUAAGUAACUGUGCACAUCUUGACGGUACCUAAUCAGAAAGCCACGGCUAACUACGUG
This 497-nucleotide ribosomal RNA is filed under the name uncultured bacterium. RNAcentral describes it as "partial 16S ribosomal RNA". It matches the Rfam family "Bacterial small subunit ribosomal RNA", at positions 28 to 507 of the family's 1533-position model. The record is from RNAcentral.